This 99-nucleotide small RNA is filed under the name Marmota monax (woodchuck). The record is from RNAcentral. Lineage: Eukaryota; Metazoa; Chordata; Mammalia; Rodentia; Sciuridae.
GCCUGUAAUCCCAGCAACUCUGGGAGGCUGAGGCGGGAGGAUCACUUGCAUCCAGGAGUUCAAGGUCAGCCUGAACGAUAUAGCAAGAACCUGUCUCAA